RNAcentral lists this long non-coding RNA (708 nucleotides) under Mytilus galloprovincialis (Mediterranean mussel). The record is from RNAcentral. Lineage: Eukaryota; Metazoa; Mollusca; Bivalvia; Mytilida; Mytilidae.
CAAUUUCAAAAGUUUUGACGUAGACUAUAAUAACAAUCUGCAUUAUUGUUUUCUUAACAAAUAUCGGACGAGUAUAGAUUAUUGAAUUGAUGCAACAGGUUGUUUAAAAUGAAAGAAAACUUAUAAAAAGAGCGGGAACAUACCAAGAUUGCACUAAAAUUACUUAAUAUGUACUAACAAGACAGAAAAUCGACCCAAAAAUAAGAGAGAUAACAAACAAUCCAUAGUUGACUCGAAACUGAACAAAUAACACCAGUUCAACCAAUCAUAACGUCAUUAUCUACCUGAAGUGUAAUAAACAAGAAUAAUGAGCAAAUACAAAGCCGUUUUCUUUUUACAUUGAAUUGUAUCCAUCUAAUAAUCUCGUCAGUUUACAUAUAAAAUAUUUUCAAAAAUUACACCCAUUACUUCAAAAUUAAGGGGCAGCCAUUUAACGAUGGAAGUAUUGAUAUACCUGUUAUUUUUGACAUCGUAUAAAAAAGAAGAUGUGGUAUGAUUGCCAAUAAGACAACUCUCCAAAAGAGACCAAAAUGACACAGAAAUUAACAACUAUAGGUCACCGUACGGCCUUUAACAAUGAGCAAAGCCCAUACCGCAUAGUCAGCUAUAAAAGGCCUCGAAAUGACAAAAAAUGUAAAACAAUUUAUCACUGUUUCUAUGAUAAAAGGUACAAAUUGUAAUUUUGAUAACAUAUAUGCAACACAUUAC